RNAcentral lists this ribosomal RNA (492 nucleotides) under uncultured bacterium. RNAcentral's name for it is "partial 16S ribosomal RNA". It matches the Rfam family "Bacterial small subunit ribosomal RNA", at positions 29 to 507 of the family's 1533-position model. The record is from RNAcentral.
AGUGAACGCUGGCGGUAGGCCUAACACAUGCAAGUCGAACGGCAGCACAGUAAGAGCUUGCUCUUACGGGUGGCGAGUGGCGGACGGGUGAGGAAUACAUCGGAAUCUACUUUUUCGUGGGGGAUAACGUAGGGAAACUUACGCUAAUACCGCAUACGACCUACGGGUGAAAGCAGGGGAUCUUCUGACCUUGCGCGAUUGAAUGAGCCGAUGUCGGAUUAGCUAGUUGGCGGGGUAAAGGCCCACCAAGGCGACGAUCCGUAGCUGGUCUGAGAGGAUGAUCAGCCACACUGGAACUGAGAAACGGUCCAGACUCCUAAGGGAGGAAGCAGUGGGGAAUAUUGGACAAUGGGGGCAAGACUGAUCCAGCCAUACCGCGUGGGUGAAGAAGGCCUUCGGGUUGUAAAGCCCUUUUGUUGGGAAAGAAAAGCAGCAGGUUAAUACCCCGCUGUUCUGACGGUACCCAAAGAAUAAGCACCGGCUAACUUCGUG